RNAcentral lists this ribosomal RNA (429 nucleotides) under bacterium. RNAcentral describes it as "partial 16S ribosomal RNA". It matches the Rfam family "Bacterial small subunit ribosomal RNA", at positions 355 to 776 of the family's 1533-position model. The record is from RNAcentral.
UGGGGAAUUUUGGACAAUGGGCGAAAGCCUGAUCCAGCAAUGCCGCGUGUGUGAAGAAGGCCUUCGGGUUGUAAAGCACUUUUGUCCGGAAAGAAAUGGCUCUGGUUAAUACCUGGGGUCGAUGACGGUACCGGAAGAAUAAGGACCGGCUAACUACGUGCCAGCAGCCGCGGUAAUACGUAGGGUCCAAGCGUUAAUCGGAAUUACUGGGCGUAAAGCGUGCGCAGGCGGUUGUGCAAGACCGAUGUGAAAUCCCCGAGCUUAACUUGGGAAUUGCAUUGGUGACUGCACGGCUAGAGUGUGUCAGAGGGGGGUAGAAUUCCACGUGUAGCAGUGAAAUGCGUAGAGAUGUGGAGGAAUACCGAUGGAGAAGACAGCCCCCUGGGAUAACACUGACGCUCAUGCACGAAAGCGUGGGGAGCAAACAGG